GCGGGUGUAGCUCAGGGGUAGAGCACAACCUUGCCAAGGUUGGGGUCGAGGGUUCGAAUCCCAUCGCCCGCUCCA
RNAcentral lists this transfer RNA (75 nucleotides) under Bauldia sp. Its description in RNAcentral is "tRNA-Gly". It matches the Rfam family "tRNA". From Rfam's summary of the family: Transfer RNA (tRNA) molecules are approximately 80 nucleotides in length. Their secondary structure includes four short double-helical elements and three loops (D, anti-codon, and T loops). The record is from RNAcentral. Lineage: Bacteria; Pseudomonadati; Pseudomonadota; Alphaproteobacteria; Hyphomicrobiales; Kaistiaceae.